RNAcentral lists this transfer RNA (69 nucleotides) under Capra hircus (goat). It matches the Rfam family "tRNA". Rfam says of the family: Transfer RNA (tRNA) molecules are approximately 80 nucleotides in length. Their secondary structure includes four short double-helical elements and three loops (D, anti-codon, and T loops). The record is from Rfam by way of RNAcentral. RNAcentral also lists the same sequence under 1 other name. Lineage: Eukaryota; Metazoa; Chordata; Mammalia; Artiodactyla; Bovidae.
CCUGGUGGCUCAGAGGUUAAAGCAUCUGCCUGCAAUGCAGGAGACCUGAGUUCAAUCCCUGGGUCAGGA